GGAGAGUUUGAUCCUGGCUCAGGACGAACGCUGGCGGCGUGCCUAAUACAUGCAAGUCGAGCGGACAGAUGGGAGCUUGCUCCCUGAUGUUAGCGGCGGACGGGUGAGUAACACGUGGGUAACCUGCCUGUAAGACUGGGAUAACUCCGGGAAACCGGGGCUAAUACCGGAUGGUUGUUUGAACCGCAUGGUUCAAACAUAAAAGGUGGCUUCGGCUACCACUUACAGAUGGACCCGCGGCGCAUUAGCUAGUUGGUGAGGUAACGGCUCACCAAGGCAACGAUGCGUAGCCGACCUGAGAGGGUGAUCGGCCACACUGGGACUGAGAC
RNAcentral lists this ribosomal RNA (329 nucleotides) under Enterococcus faecalis. RNAcentral describes it as "bacterial SSU rRNA". It matches the Rfam family "Bacterial small subunit ribosomal RNA", at positions 6 to 325 of the family's 1533-position model. The record is from RNAcentral. Lineage: Bacteria; Bacillati; Bacillota; Bacilli; Lactobacillales; Enterococcaceae.